This 475-nucleotide ribosomal RNA is filed under the name Saccharomonospora saliphila. Its description in RNAcentral is "bacterial SSU rRNA". It matches the Rfam family "Bacterial small subunit ribosomal RNA", at positions 49 to 529 of the family's 1533-position model. Lineage: Bacteria; Bacillati; Actinomycetota; Actinomycetes; Pseudonocardiales; Pseudonocardiaceae. The record is from RNAcentral.
UUACACAUGCAAGUCGGACGCUGAAGCUCAGCUUGCUGGGUGGAUGAGUGGCGAACGGGUGAGUAACACGUGGGUAAUCUGCCCUGUACUUCGGGAUAAGCCUUGGAAACGGGGUCUAAUACCGGGUAGGACACAUCGUCGCAUGGUGGUGUGUGGAAAGCCUUUCGGGGUGGUAUGGGAUGAGCCCGCGGCCUAUCAGCUUGUUGGUGGGGUGAUGGCCUACCAAGGCGGUGACGGGUAGCCGGCCUGAGAGGGUGACCGGCCACACUGGGACUGAGACACGGCCCAGACUCCUACGGGAGGCAGCAGUGGGGAAUAUUGCACAAUGGGCGCAAGCCUGAUGCAGCGACGCCGCGUGAGGGAUGACGGCCUUCGGGUUGUAAACCUCUUUCGCCCAGGACGAAGGGUUUCGGCUUGACGGUACUGGGAGAAGAAGCACCGGCUAACUACGUGCCAGCAGCCGGGGGUUAAUGCA